Molecule: ribosomal RNA, 496 nt
Filed under: uncultured bacterium
Lineage: Bacteria
Description: partial 16S ribosomal RNA
Rfam family: Bacterial small subunit ribosomal RNA
Source: RNAcentral
AUGAACGCUGGCGGCGUGCCUAAUCCAUGCAAGUCGAGCGAACAGACGAGGAGCUUGCUCCUCUGACGUUAGCGGCGGACGGGUGAGUAACACGUGGAUAACCUACCUAUAAGACUGGGAUAACUUCGGGAAACCGGAGCUAAUACCGGAUAAUAUAUUGAACCGCAUGGUUCAAUAGUGAAAGACGGUUUUGCUGUCACUUAUAGAUGGAUCCGCGCCGCAUUAGCUAGUUGGUAAGGUAACGGCUUACCAAGGCAACGAUGCGUAGCCGACCUGAGAGGGUGAUCGGCCACACUGGAACUGAGACACGGUCCAGACUCCUACGGGAGGCAGCAGUAGGGAAUCUUCCGCAAUGGGCGAAAGCCUGACGGAGCAACGCCGCAUGAGUGAUGAAGGUCUUCGGAUCGUAAAACUCUGUUAUUAGGGAAGAACAAAUGUGUAAGUAACUAUGCACGUCUUGACGGUACCUAAUCAGAAAGCCACGGCUAACUACGUG